AAGAUGAUGUGCAAUUAGAGAUACUGGGGUGCAAAAGAUCGAGAGGGUAAGUAAUAAUAUGGGGAUGAGGUAGUUCGAUGUGCUAUUUGCAGAUUGACUGUGUACAUUGUUUGGUAAGCAGCUGAUGCUUAAAGUUAGAGAGGGAGAUAUAAGACUCCAGCUUCAGAGAUUUUUGCAAUUCAUUCCAGUCAUUGGCAGCAGAGAACUGGAAGGAAAGGUGGCCAGAGGAAGUGUUGGCUUUGGGGAUGACCAGUGCAAUAUACCUGCUGGAGCGCAUGCUACGGGUGGGUGUUGCUAUGGUGACCAGUGAGCUGAGAUAAGGCAGGGCUUUACCUAGCAAAGACUUAUAGAUGACCUGGAGCCAGUGGGUUUGGCGACGGAUAUGUAGUGAGGGCCCACCAACGAGAGCAUACAGGUCACAUUGGUGGGUAGUAUAUGGGGCUUUGGUGACAAAACGGAUGGCACUGUGAUAGACUACAUCCAGUUUGCGGAGUAGAGUGUUGGGGGCUAUUUUGUCAAUUACAUCGCCAAAGUCGAGGAUAGGAUAAUCAGUUUUACGAGGGUAUGUUUGGCAGCAUGAGUGAAGGAGGCUUUGUUGCAAAAUAGGAAGCCGAUUCUAGAUUUAAUUUUGGAUUGGAGAUGCUUAAUGUGAGUCUGGAAGGAGAGUUUACAGUCUAACCAGACACCUAGGUAUUUGUAGUUGUCCACAUAUUCUAGGUCAGAACCGUCCAGAGUAGUGAUGCUAGUCUGGCAGGCAGGUGCGGGCAGCAAUCGGUUGAAGAGCAUGCACUUAGUUCUACUAGCAUUUAAUUAAAAGCAGUUGUAGGCCACGGAAGGAGUGUUGUAUGGCGUUGAAGCUCGUUUGGAGGUUUCUUAGCACAGUGUCCAAAGAAGGGCCAGAUGUAUACAGAAUGGUGUUGUCUGCGUAGAGGUGGAUCAGAGAAUCACCAGCUGUAACGAUCGUCUGUGGUGGAAGAAAGUGAGGACUAAAGCGCAGCGUGGUAAGUUUUCAUAUUUUUAGUAAAAUAACUGAACACUGGACAAAACAAUAAACGACAAACGAACAGUCCCGUAAGGUGAAUGGAAAAAACACUAAACAGGAAAUAAUCACCCACAAAACACAGGUGGGAAAAGGCUACUUAAGUAUGAUUUUCAAUCAGAGACAAUGAACGACACCUGCCUCUGAUUGAGAACCAUACUAGGCCAAACACAAAACCACAACAUAGAAAAAAGAACAUAGACUACCCAUCCCAACUCACAAAGACAUAACAAAGGAACUAAGGUCAGAACGUGACACCAGCAGCAAGAGUGACAUUGAUAUAUACAGUGCUGGUUGUAGCGUGUGGAAGUAGGGAGAACUCACAUUUUAUGGCUUAAAAAGGUGUUGAACAAAGUGUUUACAGUGCUGAAUAACAACUUAAACAUGAACUUACACAUAAAACAGCAGCUCUUUGCUGUAUCCGUGGAGUCUUCCUCGUCAUGGUUUUAAAAGUUUUGAAAUCUCACAGUAUCAACUUUGCUGUGCGUUCAAGGUAGGCCUAUAGGUGCAAUUGAUUUGUUCUCUGGGCCUGCUGGGUAGGUGGAGUUAUUCCUUCAGACACAUGAAAUGGUUAAAAAUGGGAACACUUUGUCUUUCCGACACUAGGGCUGCACCUACCACCAACAGCGUGAAAUUAAUUUAAAAAAAUAGGAACGCAAGGCUUUAUCGUUGUUUUUUACAGAAAUGUUUGGUGAUCGACUAGGAAUGCCUUGGAGAUUAGAGGUCGACCGAAUAUGAAUUUUCAACGCCGAUACCGAUUAUUGGAGGACCAAAAAACCUUGAUACCGAUUAAUCGGCCAAUUUUUAAAAUGUAUUUGUAAUAAUGACAAUUACAACAAUACUGAAUGAACACUUAUUUUAACUUAAUAUAAUACAUCAAUAAAAUCAAUUUAGCCUCAUAAAUAAUGAAACAUGUUCAAUUUGGUUUAAAUAAUGCAAAAACAAAGUGUUGGAGAAGAAAGUAAAAGUGCAAUAUGUGCCAUGUAAUAAAGCUGACAUUUAAGUUCCUUGCUCAGAACAUGAGAACAUAUGAAAGCUGGUGGUUCCUUUAACAUGAGUCUUCAAAAUUCCCAGGUAAGAAGUUUUAGGUUAUAGUUAUUAUAGGAAUUACAGGACUAUUUCUCUCUAUACCAUUUGUAUUUCAUAUACCUUUGACAAUUGGAUGUUCUUAUAGGCACUUUAGUAUUGCCAGUGUAACAGUAUAGCUUCUGUCCCUCUCCUCGCUCCUACCUGGGCUCGAAUCAGGAACACAUCGAAAACAGUCACCCUCGAAGCAGCGUUUGAACAACUACUCCAAGUCUCAGAGCGAGUGACGUUUGAAACGCUAUUAGCGUUAGCUGGCCAUUUCACAUCGGUUACACCAGCCUAAUCUCGGGAGUUGAUAGGCUUGAAGUCAUAAACAGCACAAUAGCUGCUGGCAAACGCAGGAAAGUACUGUUUGAAUGAAUGCUUACGAGCCUGCUGCUGCCUACCAUCGCUCAGUCAGACUGCUCUAUCAAAUCAUAGACUUAAUUAUAACAUAAUAACACGCAGAAAUACGAGUCUUUGGUCAUUAAAAUGGUCGAAUCCGCAAACUAUCAUUCAGAAAACAAAACGUUUAUUCUUUCAGUGAAAUACGGAACCGUUCCGUAUUUUAUCUAACGGAUGGCAUCCCUAAGUUUAAUUAUUGCUGUUACAUUGUACAACCUACAAUGUUAUGUCAUAAUUAUGGACAAUUCUGGAAAAUUAAUUAUGGCCUUUGUUAGGAAUAAAUGGACUUUACACAGUUUGCAAUGAGCCAGGUGGCCCAAACUGCUGCAUAUACCCUGACUGCUUGCACAGAACGCAAGAGAAGUGACACAAUUUCCCUAAUUAUAACUAGGCAAGUCAGUUAAGAACACAUUCUUAUUUUCAAUGACGGCCUAGGAAAGGUGGGUUAACUGCCAUGUUCAGGGGCAGAAUGACAGAUUUUUACCUUGUCAGCUCUGGGAUUUGUUUUUGCAAUCUUCCGGUUACUAGUCCAACGCUCUAACCACCUGCCUUACAUUGCACUCCACGAGGGACUACCUGUUACGUGAGGGCAGCAAGAAGCCAAGGUAAGUUGCUAGCUAGUAUUAAACUUAUCUUAUAAAAAACAAUCAAUCUUAACAUAAUCACUAGUUAACUACACAUGGUUGAUGAUAUUACUAGUUUAUCUAGGGUGUCCUGCGUUGCAUAUAAUCGAUGCGCCUACUUCGACAAACGGUGAUGAUUUAACAAGCGCAUUUGGAAAAAAGCACUGUCAUUGCACCAAUGUACCUAACCAUAAACAUCAAUGCCUUUCUUUAAAAUCAACACAGAAGUAUAUAUUUUUAAACCUACAUACUUAGUUAAUAGUGCCUGCUAACAUGAAUUUCUUAUAAAAAGGUGUAAAAAAAGAAUAAUCGGCAAAUCGGUCCAAAAAUACAAUUACCCAUUGUUAUGAAAACUUGAAACCGGCCAUAAUUAAUCGGUCAUUCCCGAUUAAUCGGGUGACCUCUAUUGGAGAUAAAACAUAAAAUAUUGUCAUAUAAUUAAAAAUGCAGUUUAUACAAGUUUUAUAUUCAUUUUCCUAAAUAAUUAAUGACAUGCUGUAGUGUGGUGGACUGACUUGAAAAGUUACCUUGGCGACAACUGGAUGCCUCGGAUGAUUAGGUUCUAUUUUCUAAAGGCUCUGUGUGAGUCACAUCUUUUUACAAACCACUAGUGCUAGGCUUUCCAAUACUGUCAUCUGCUGUUCAGUUCAACACAUGCCACAUCCAAGCUGCAAGGAAACUGGUCAAUUCAAGCAUAGAUGUAUAAUAGGGUAGAAAUAAGUUUUAAAAAGAUUGAGCUUUGCAUUUUAUUAACAUUUCAUUGAUUUAAACAUGAUAUUUGUCCAUUUUUAAAUUUCCAGACAGAGUAGCCAUUUUUGUAUAAUAUAAGGAUAUAAUAACAAGAAGUGAUUAUUUAUGAACAGUGAUUAGUUCUGAUACUGUAGUUAGGUAUUCAUAGCUGUGUUUAGUAAGAGAUGAACAUAAAACCAUUGGUCAGGUUACAUUUGCUUGAUAUUAAGUGGAGGGAGUUGGUUAGUACUUUAUGCCAUGUGGUUAUAUCUUUUGCCCCCCUGUUUUCGUUCUCCAAACUAUUUAUGAGGGUGUCGUUCACUCACUUGUCCCCUCUACAUCCUCUGAGGUCCUGUCCUGAGUUACUGAAUGUCUAUCGUUCUCAUUCAGUUUCCUUCUCUUCCUUCUUCUUCCUCUACUUUAGGUUGAGAAGUUAAGCCCUGGAGAGGUGCGUCCUCUUCUCGCACUUCUAUUGUGUCUUUCCCCAUUUCAGUAGCUCUAUCACUGCUGUCUUUCCCUCCUUGUCCCCUCUUCCUCUUUCUAUGGACCAAAGCUAUUACCAAAAUAAUGCCAGGUAAAACACAAAGUAGAAGGAUUAAUGUAACAGUUGCCACGACUCUUUGCAUGUGAUAUCUCAACUCACACUCCUGCAUGAGUUCAUCUACAGAUAUUUCACCCUCAUUGAGGACCAGCAUAAGAUGGCCACACUCAUGACUGAAGUUGACCCAGUUUCGCAGCUCUAUGUCAACAGUAGUGUCGCCGAGUCCAUAAAAUGUCAGAAACACUCCGUCAAGUAGAUAUGAACAGUCAACAGACUUCUCAGACAGAGAGCGCAGGUACACAAUGUCCGUGGCAUUAUCUGUGGCACAGUUGUCUAUGAUCACUGAGCCAUGGUGGGAAACCAUCAUGUAAAUGUCACUUCCCUCUCCUCCAAUCAAGUAAUCUCCUCCCACAAGGGACACUAGAAUGUCGUUGCCGUCAGAGCCUUUUAGUAGGGCAGGUUCGUAGCCAGACACCAAGAUAUCUGAGUAGAUAGUGCCAAUCACAUUCUCAACAUCCUUCAACACGUCUCCCUCAGCAUCUGCCUGACGGCAUUCUCCGCUCAGCAGGUUGACGUAAACGCCCUCACCCCUCUCAUGAUCCCCCUGGUACAGCACAGUGUCUCUCCCUGGGCCCCCGUCCACUAGAUCAGCCCCUGGUCCGGGAACGAAGGUGUCAUGGCCGGCCCCUCCAUCCAGUACAUCAAUCUUGAUGCCACCGAAGAGUACGUUCUCCUGCUCAUUACCUGUAAUGUAAUUGGAGUCAUGGGGACAGCCCUGCACAGUGUGAACCAAUGAUAAAUUUGAUUGAGAACUCAGAUCUAUUUGGCAGUCUCCCAGUUUUCCUUUCAUUGUCACUUUGUAAGCUUCAAUCCAAGGCUUUUGAAAGCUACGCGUUUUGUUUCCAACUGGAGAUCUAACCCAAAAAUGCACUCCAUCAGAGCUCUGGAAGCUAAGAUGUUGGUGUUGUUGCCCUGAAUUAUAGUUGAGCACUCUGACCUGAAUUUUAUGCCCCUGUGUACCUGUGCUCACAAGUACAUCAUGCUUGUCAGACUGAACUGUGAGUUGACCACCACCAAGGAAAUCCAUCUCAAACAACACAGUAUCCAUUCUUUCAUCCUCUGCAAAGUUUUCAAUCAUGAUAUUGGUUCCAUAUCCAGUGUUCACUACAUAGGUAUCCUUCCCAUCUCCUCCCACCAUGCUACCACCUCCAGUAAAAGGAUCCAGCAUGUUAUUUUUGUCAUUUCCUUCCAUGCUGUCGAAACCAGAUGAGCCAUACAUUUCCACCACUGAGGCAAAGUCGCUGUUAUUCAUCUUCAUGAUUUCUCCAGUCACCCUAUUUCGGAAAUCCACAGACUGAGGCAGCUUUAAGGAGCCAUCGCAACUGCUGGCAUUGGACUCCAGUUGAAAUGUUAUUCCAUCAGCUGAUUGGAUGUGGAGGUGUUGAGAGUUCCUUGAGUGAAACCAGCCCUUCAAUAGGACUUCCUCUGAGCCAUUUAUGGAGAGAUAAAUGUCUGGUCCAUUACAUUUACAAUUGAUGAAAUCAUAUUUUUCUCUCAGGAAAAGUACAUCAGUAGCCAGAUCGGGUGAGUGGUUCUCAAUGGUUUUCAAGCCUUGUCCUGGAGUUACAACAUACCAGUCCUCCCCUCCUCGCCCCUGAAGAAAGUCUGUUCCUCGCCCUGGCACAAUUGUGUUGCGUUGUACGUUCCCUUUGAUGAUGUCAUUGAAGGCUGAGCCUCGCACCUCUGUUACACUUUGGAAAGCCUCAUCCUCCUGCAGAUCCACAUGUAGAGCAGCUGUGGACUUUCUGUAAUCUAGAUUCUGACUUAUGAGGCAUUUGCUCUUAAAUGAGUCAAUCUGCUCACAGGCUGCCUUGUUCUCAGAGAUGCUGAAGGUGACCAGAUCCUUUGUGAUAACAAGCAAGUGCCUGUCCGCUUCUGAACGGAACCAGUUCAUUAAGGUCACAUCAAAACUUUGAUCAGCAAAAGGCAUCAGUUUGAGAUGGUUUCCAUCCACUUUAACUUUGAAUUCAUGAAGGUUUGCCUCUAUCACCAGUAUGUCUGUUUCAUUGUCAUAGGAGUGAUUUUCAAUGAAUAUCUUUGUCAGUUUUUUCUCAUAAACCAUAUAUAUGUCCUCUCCUUCUCCUCCCCUCAGGUGGUCCUGACCCCCUCCACCAUCAAUCAGGUUCUUCUGUCUAUUUCCUAUUAGUAUGUCAUUGUAAGGAGACCCCAUGAUAUUAGUAACGCUAAGGAGAAGUGGUUCGGAAGCGUUCACUGUCUGGCCAUGAGUUUUAGACAUUCUAUUGAUACCUCUGGCAAUCAGUUGGACAGAGGAAAUCACUGUGGUGGAGAUGUCGAACAGGACUCCGUCCUCUGACAUCAUGUUCAUGUGGCGAUAUUCGUCCCCCAAAAACCAGUUCAUAAUCCUAAUGUUAUGGUUACCAAGAUAUCUUAAAACAAUAUCAUUUCCUGACUUACUGACAGAAAUCUGACUGUAGUUAACGCCAAGGAGUAGGACAUCUGUUGAUUUGAAAGGAUCAUAGUUAUUAAUAAUCGUGUUUCCUCCAUAGACAGGAAUGAUGAAAGUGUCUUUGCCGCCACACCCCUCCACAUAGCUUUUUUGAGGUCCCAAAUAGAACACGUCAUCACCAUUUUUUCCAUAAAGCUUGUAGUAAUAGCUCAACAUGACUUCAAUGCCAUGGUCGUCAUCUGCCUUCUGAACGGCAAAAAAAUUAUUUGCUUCAUUGUUUCCCCAAUAUGUUCCAAAUCUUGUGUCUGACAAAGCCUCAUAACCAGAAACGACAGACAUAGAGCCAACUUUUAUGAAUAGGAGUAUUUUUAUAUCUAUGUUUUUGUAAGUUAAUCUAUGUGAUUCUCCAAUGCCUAGAACAAUGUCUUUAGUUCCUUGUGUGUCAAUAGUCCAACACCUUUUUCCCGAGUUUUCGUCACUGGAUACAAAAUAAUCCAUGCAGAAGUCAGAUGAUCCCUGGUCUGAGAGACAAAAAGUGAUACUCCCUCCAUUCCAAGAAUCCUCACCAGCUGUGAAAUCAAUGGCCUUUCUCCCAUCCUGUACCUCUGCAAAAUAAUAGUACUUUUGGUGGUCUGAAAUUUGUUGAACAAGCCUUCGUCCCUCCUCAAUCUCACGAUAAGGAAUGGUAUAAAAAAAGCUUGCCACAUCAAGGAUAAAGUGUAAAAGUCCUUUCCCAAAGCCAACAAAGAAUGCUCUUAUUUUUGCCAAAACUCCAGCAUUUGGUGGUAAAUGAAUGAGUUCAGUCUGAAUAUCAAGAUAUACAUCAUCAAAGAUCAUUCGUAUGGUAUUUAGUGCCAGGUUGAUUGGCACAAUUAAUGGCGCAAGUUCUGGUUGACCGAUUUCAAGAAAAUCCAAGGCAACUAUUGCAGCAUCGAAGGUGGCAUCAAUAUACCCCAGUGCAUCUUUCCUCUUAAAGUCUUCCACAAUAUUGUAAAUUCCAAAACCAAUCCCUAUGAUUGGCAUAACUACCAGGGCACGUUUCACCACAGGGCUUUUGAUUAAUGUUACCAUGGCUCUCAUUGCCUUGCGCUCUAAAACCUGAGGAACUUGUUUACCAACUGCAGCCAAGGUCAUUCCUGUGACUCCAUGUACAGUCUGUAACGUGGCUAUUGUACCAUGUUCAAUGUCUCCCUCUUCAAAAGCAUGAACAGCUCCUUGCAUCCCCAACAUGAGUCCCACUGCUCCAAUUGCCAUCCCUGUGUGCUCUAGGUGCUUCGAGACCUGGUGAGAAUGGGUCCCAUCUGGAAUCUCCAGGCCAUGAACUGUCUCCAUGUUUUUCCACAUUUUCUCUGUGUAUAGUUGUCCCCCUGGAUGCAACUCCACCUUAAAUUCAAUUGUUUCCCGGAGAUUCUUCUUCGAUGUAAGCUGGCAACGAAAUUGUCCAUCCUCCAGCCUAAUACUGCCUUCUUUGACAUGUAGUCCCUCCGAGUCCAGCCUGUCACCAAAUUCUCUCCUCAACUGAUUGUGAAUCUGUUCAGCAAACAUAGCAGAGGACCUGGCGUAAUACGAAGAGAGCUUGAGUGAAUGCUCUACUUCUGAAGCAGAAUGUAGAUCUUUCAAUGUCACAGAGCCAUCAUGGGACCCACCCAAAAGUCCAGUGACCUCAUUUAGGGUUGAUUGUUUACCAAUUUCAUUUAAGAAAUGACUAUAAUCCUUUAUGAAUGAACUUUUAGAAAUCUCAUUCACAAGUGCAUACUCAUUUGCAAGUUUGUAGAUCUCAUCUUCUACCUUGUUGUUAUCCAUUUUUUUCCAUUUCCACCAUUCUUCAAACACAUUAUUCUCUUUUUCUGUAAGGUCCAUAAGAUCCUUUUGUAAUUCCUCUGGGAUCUUACGUUUAUAUUUUAAUAUGUUUUUUAAUUUGCUAGAAUCUAUGUCUGAGGACGAACCGAAAAAUCCUCGCCUACUUGGAUCCACCCAAGAACCACCUGCUGCCAUUGGAUGAUUCUCCAUGAGGAAACUCAAACCUUUGUCUUUCACAUUAUUGUCUGUGCUGUGGGCCAUAUCUAAGGCCAUCAGGACAAGAGGAAAUGUACGGAAAUUUCUGGAGGACUCUGAUAUUAUUGAUGCCAUGAAAUAUGUUCUGUACCAUGCCUCCUUCAUCAUACCUUGUGAGCCUUUAUUAAUGUAUUCCCCCUGAAGAGUUUCUUUCACAAAAUUAGGAUAACUUUCUUUGCCAUCUCCUAUAUUUUCACGGAUGGCUGGAUAAUGUUCUUUGCCAAUCUGUUCCUCAACACAACGUUUUAUCUCAUCUAUUCUGUUUUGAUUUCCCUUUUCAUUGUUGUCAAGCUUUUUCCCCACUGGAAACACAUAUAAAGAUUGGGGGUUUAUCUCAUAAAUCCAGUCAUGUAACAUCAGGUAGGUGGUCUUAUCUUCUCCAAGCUUUGCAUUGUGAUGGAUCACACUUAGGAUAUCCUCACCUGACUUCAUUUCAUAGCAGUUAUCAAGAAUACCUUUAAUGACGUUGUUAUCUUCAAUCCAUGUUUUCUCCUUUAUUGUAUUUCUUCUGUUUACCAUUUGCCUCUCAAUAUUGCAGAUCCGAAACUCUUCAUUGUCCAAAUUUGUCUGUAACUUUUUUGAAUUUUUAUCACUUUUCAUUGGUUCAAAAAUUGCCCAGGUUAAAGCUUCAAGUUCAUUAGUAUAUUUUCUACGUGCAUAAGAUUCAACAAAUCUCUUUGGAUUGUCUGGCCAUGUGUCUCUGUAUUUUUUAAAACGUUCUUGAACAGAAGUUUCCCCUAGAAAGUUUCUCUCAUUUGAAAAAAUCCCUUCCCCCCUGUUGCUGAACUGUUCUCUAGUGACGACAUUUCCAUCUCUGUCUAACAUUGCCACCACUUUCUUGCUGUCAUCCUUAUGUUUUGUUUCCAAUCCAGUGGGGGUUAUUUCUACAGUUAUCUUCUCCCCAGAGUGGCUGACUUGGAGCAAAGAACUCCUUAGGUGUAGUUCUGUCUCAAUAGACCUGGUGUGGAGCUCUUUUAACAGGGUGUUCUUGAAGGCUUCAUCAGACCCAACUUCACAGGCCACCACACUUGUGGUUUUAAUAUGGUCACUAGUCCUGGCAGUACGUCCAAUGAUGUCAGCCACGUCUUCGGCUUUGUACCCUCCAACCCUCAUCUCUCCUUCGCUGUCUCUGCUCCCAUGGCCUACAAGGACCAGUCUGCUCUCUUCUGACAGUGGCACCGGGUCACCUUUGAUCAGUUUAGGCUGUUGGUUUUCCAGGAUGUACACAGAGGUCACAGUGGGAUGUUUCUCAUAUAGAAAUUUAGCAGCUUCCCGAACAAUGGGGUUAUCUUCCAGUAUUAGGAUGUGCUGUUUAUCAUACUGUGUGGUGUGAUCAAUGUGUCUCUUUGGAGCAUGGUACUCAGCUGCAGUGUCAGUGUGAUCCAUGAUUUGAAAGAUGAGAAGAUCUCCCGGGCUGGUAGUUUCCAAGACAGCAUUAUUGUCAUGAUACUUAAAAACCCUCAUGAAGUCAUUAUGAAAUGAAGAAGUGGUAUUGAUGUCAAGGGAGAAAACGGAUGCUGAUCUCAAUGAUGGUGUCAACAUUAGAUUUGCUAGUGAGGAACCAGAGUAACCGGACAGAGUAUGUCCAUCCUCUGAGGCAGUACCAAAUAUCUUCACAACUGUGCCACUGUUAACGGUUGGGAGACAUGAAUCAUUGUACAUACAAGCAUCACUGACCAUUACUGAAUAAUGAGGAUCUAUGCUGUACUCCUCUUCUACUCGCUGACGAGUCCACUCUUCCUUGUCCAUUAUAAGGAGAAGUUUGUUGCUGUAGGUGUAAGACAUUUCAGAAGCAGACAGCAGCAAAUCUUGGAUCUUUUGUCUAUCAAUUUCUUCCAGAAACCUUUCAAAAUCCUGAGGGGAAAAAAAAAACAAUUAAAAAAACAGAUUGAAUCUGGGAUUCGAAAGAUUUAACCACUCUAAAAUGCAUAGACAGAGCAAGGACUGACCAUCCAUGGAUGCGAAGGCUGACCCUCCAUGAAAUAAAAAUGUGUGUUUUAACAAUUGUUUGAAACUACAGUGGAGUCCGAAAUGAUUGACACCAUUGAUAGGUAGUCUAGCG
Molecule: long non-coding RNA, 10986 nt
Organism: Oncorhynchus tshawytscha (Chinook salmon)
Lineage: Eukaryota; Metazoa; Chordata; Actinopteri; Salmoniformes; Salmonidae
Source: Ensembl